Molecule: ribosomal RNA, 484 nt
Filed under: uncultured bacterium
Lineage: Bacteria
Description: partial 16S ribosomal RNA
Rfam family: Bacterial small subunit ribosomal RNA
Source: RNAcentral
GACGAACGCUGGCGGAAUGCUUUACACAUGCAAGUCGAGCGGCAGCACGGGGGCAACCCUGGUGGCGAGCGGCGAACGGGUGAGUAAUACAUCGGAACAUGCCCAGUCGUGGGGGAUAACACUUCGAAAGAAGUGCUAAUACCGCAUACGUCCUGAGGGAGAAAGCGGGGGAUCGCAAGACCUCGCGCGAUUGGAGUGGCCGAUGUCAGAUUAGCUAGUUGGUGGGGUAAAGGCCUACCAAGGCAACGAUCUGUAGCUGGUCUGAGAGGAUGAUCAGCCACACUGGGACUGAGACACGGCCCAGACUCCUACGGGAGGCAGCAGUGGGGAAUUUUGGACAAUGGGGGCAACCCUGAUCCAGCCAUUCCGCGUGAGUGAAGAAGGCCUUCGGGUUGUAAAGCUCUUUCGGCAGGAACGAAACGGUGAGCUCUAACAUAGCUUGCUAAUGACGGUACCUGAAGAAGAAGCACCGGCUAACUACGUG